Leptinotarsa decemlineata (Colorado potato beetle) is the source of this 915-nucleotide long non-coding RNA. NCBI's taxonomy places the organism in Eukaryota, Metazoa, Arthropoda, Insecta, Coleoptera, Chrysomelidae. The record is from RefSeq and is a predicted model, not a curated record.
GGACGCAACUGAAAUAGUUGCAUCAUGAAAACCUAAUAGUAGCACCGUGUCUCUCGCGCUGUUUAUAACAUCCAUUUAUUUGUUAUUUAUAAGUAGUGUAGUUUUCAUUUCAUCACAAUGGGAGAAGGCUCAAUAAAAGGACAAAGUGAUAAUUUGCCUAGAAUUGAUACAUUCUACAGUGCGUAGUGAUGUUUUUUUUUCAAAUCACUCCAAUGUUAGUGCUGACAAACGAGAUGAACUUAUCAGGUGUCGUGUCGCUUCGAGAAUAUUCCUAUCGGCUUCCGAAGACUUCCAUUGGGAUAUAUAAGCACUACCAACAGGCAGAUGGGGCUAAUCUAGUUGAAAGUGCGAUGUGACCCAAUGAGAGACGGCAUCCAACGCCAUGAAGGUACGAGAAUAAAGCGACUGUCAGCAAGAAACAAAUGGAUAACAUGGCAAAGAGAAGAGGAAAAAGAAAAAAAAAGGGAGAGUGGAUUAUGGUUAAUUAUUCCAGGCUCAAAUUGUCGAUACAACCCGUUCAUGUGGAUUUACUGCGUGAAGAAAAGGGAUUGCUGAAGGAAAAGCAUCUGUUUUUCCUUCAGCAAUCUGAAGAAACAUGCAUUUCAAUGAAUUUAUUUUAAAAUUACAGGUCAAAACAUUGAAGCUGUGCUUAGAAAAAAUUUGGUUUUUUUCCCCAAAAUGGAAUUACAUAGUAGCAUUUCAAAAAAGCACUGCUUUCAAAAACCAGAACAAUGAUCUACUCAUCUCCUAAAUGUGCGCCUACAAUUAACCCACCGAAGUUUGGACUGAAAAGGAUCAAUUUUAAUCUGGGCACAGGGAGGAUUUCAUUAUGAAGGCACCCGCCGAGAUCCGGGAAGCUUAUUUACUAUUUAAUGUAAUCAUUCCAGAAACUACGUAUAUACACCAUACUCCUUA